Non-coding RNA from Neolamprologus brichardi, 677 nucleotides. The record is from RefSeq and is a predicted model, not a curated record. NCBI's taxonomy places the organism in Eukaryota, Metazoa, Chordata, Actinopteri, Cichliformes, Cichlidae.
CAGCAACCGAGUUUCAGUCCGCUUACCGGUGGGAGGGCGAGCUUCACGGCAUCGACUUCAACCCGCACAGCGGAGAGAGGCAUCGGGUCAGGCUUGGCAGUGAAUGUACAAUAGGACCCGACGAUCUCCACAUCGGAGUCGUCUGAGCUGACAUUGAUCACAUCAUCCAUUUCUCUUCAGUCAUUCAAAUUCAGCAGCCAAUGCACAAAAGCAUCACCUAAGGCAGACCCGUGACGGUCAGGGCAGUCCUAAACAGCCAUGAGCUUCCGCCGUAGAUGUCUCAUUCCGAUCAUGUUUUGUAGAAAACACAAAAUAACUCCUCCAGUGAGGCGUGCAACCUUCGGCAUUUCCUUGUUGAGAUCGUAGAUUACAUGCGUCGUGUUCGGCAGCUUUUCUUCUAUGACCGUGGUGGGUCACAACAAGCGCCAUACUUGAAAUGAUCUCCACCUGCUGUACUGGAGUGCAACCUGCCUGCGCAGAUUCUGCCUGUCCUCAAAGAAAAUUAAGGACAGACAGAGAUACUAAAGACAGACGAACACAUUCAAAAUGCACCUUAAUUCCUAAAGUGUGGCUGGUUACAGCCAAAGGCAACGGAAACGAGAGGCCAAACGUGUCUUUGGACUAUCCACCUCACACGAUCAUUUUCUAAUUUAUAUUUAAAUUACACUUUAAAUGUG